Molecule: non-coding RNA, 517 nt
Organism: Pseudopodoces humilis (Tibetan ground-tit)
Lineage: Eukaryota; Metazoa; Chordata; Aves; Passeriformes; Paridae
Source: RefSeq, a predicted model, not a curated record
UGGUUUGGUGAGCUGGGAGGAUCUCGGGUUCUGGUUUCCCUUUUGGUGGAAUUUGGAGUUGUUUAGGGGAGAAUUUUAGGGGGUCCCGGCCCCUACCUUUGGGGGGGGGGUCAGGAUUUUGGGGGGCUGACCCUGCCCCGCAGCCCCUUCCGUGCCCCCCGGGGCCGUGGCCGCCGUUUCUUUCGGUGCCUUCGUGGUGGGGGCGGCGCUUGCGGGGGGCCUUUGGCUCGUGCACGGCCGGACAGCCCUCCGACCUCCCCCAGCGCUGCCCUCCAGCCCGGGGAGGGGCCAGGUGAUGAUUGGCAGCUCUGAGCGCUUAGGCUGAGAAAUGCCUGUGGGAAAAGGAAAUUCCGGCAGUGGAAAACGGACGCCGCAGCUCAUCCAGCCCAUCGCUCACCUGCUCAGGCCCCCAUGGCAGGGAAGAGCCACAGCCUGGGGAAAUUCGCAUGCGAGGGGGGAGACAGAACUAGCAAACUGGGGUAUUAAUUAAUAAAAAGUUCUGCCAUCUGUAACCAAA